RNAcentral lists this transfer RNA (82 nucleotides) under Bimuria novae-zelandiae CBS 107.79. It matches the Rfam family "tRNA". From Rfam's summary of the family: Transfer RNA (tRNA) molecules are approximately 80 nucleotides in length. Their secondary structure includes four short double-helical elements and three loops (D, anti-codon, and T loops). Lineage: Eukaryota; Fungi; Ascomycota; Dothideomycetes; Pleosporales; Didymosphaeriaceae. The record is from Rfam by way of RNAcentral.
GCCCGCAUGGCUCAGUGGUAGAGCGUAUCACUAGUACUAAGCCGCUAUGAUAAGGUCAUCAGUUCGAUUCUGAUUGUGGGCA